This 65-nucleotide transfer RNA is filed under the name Drabescoides nuchalis. Its description in RNAcentral is "tRNA-His". The record is from RNAcentral. Lineage: Eukaryota; Metazoa; Arthropoda; Insecta; Hemiptera; Cicadellidae.
AUUUAAGUAGUUUAAUAAAAAAAUAUAGUAUUGUGGUUACUAAGAAAAUUUUUGGUUCUUAAAUA